GACGAGGGAUCCUAGCGUUGUUCGGAAUUAUUGGGCGUAAAGAGGGCGUAGGUGGCUUUGUAAGUCGGGUGUGAAAGCCCAGGGCUCAACCCUGGAAGUGCAUUCGAUACUGCGAAGCUUGAAUGUGGUAGAGGCUACUGGAAUACCUGGUGUAGUGGUGAAAUACGUAGAUAUCAGGUGGAACACCGGAGGCGAAAGCGGGUAGCUGGACCAACAUUGACGCUGAGGCCCGAAAGUGCAGGGAUCAAACAGG
RNAcentral lists this ribosomal RNA (253 nucleotides) under uncultured bacterium. RNAcentral's name for it is "partial 16S ribosomal RNA". It matches the Rfam family "Bacterial small subunit ribosomal RNA", at positions 524 to 776 of the family's 1533-position model. The record is from RNAcentral.